GUCCUGGUUCACACCCAGAGGAACCAGCUUGGUCCUGGGCAGCCACUGCCGACUCAGAGUCUGAGCUGCUCCGGGGAAGGCUGCAGUCAUUACGGUAUACCAAGAAACUCUUCUUCACUGGUUGGUUUCCACCGCUGAAGCCAUUGGCUGUCUACCUGAACGAUGUCCCGCUCUGCGUAGCGUCCCCUAGAGGACACGCGCACAUCAUCACCGUCCAACUCUUCCAUUG
This 229-nucleotide long non-coding RNA is filed under the name Homo sapiens (human). RNAcentral's name for it is "HSALNT0050763". Lineage: Eukaryota; Metazoa; Chordata; Mammalia; Primates; Hominidae. The record is from RNAcentral.